AACCCAAGCAUCUAACAGGGCUUCCACUGCUUCCGAUUGGCUGCAGGAGCUUCCUGCAGCCAAUCAAAAGCAGGACUUUGGCUUCCAAACAUUUUGGAAGUCAAACAGACCUCUGGAAUGGAUUCUGUUCGACUUCCAAGGUACGACUGUAUAAGCAGUGGUAUUGGUCUUGCUCUGUUGACUGAGGCUCAGACCCUGUAGCAGUGGGUGAAGGUUGGUGAAUUCAGGAGACAGAGCCAGGCAGACAAAAAAGUAGAGCUGCAUGGGUUAGGGGGCAGAGCCCAUCAAUGGACCAUGGCUAAGGGGCCUAAAGCUGGCACGGUUGGAUAACCCACUGAUGCAGCCUGGUGGGUGGGGAUUCACAGGUGAGAGCAAAAUGCUCUCAAAGAAACAGAAUGGUCCUUUGGCCCCAACUUGUCAUCCUGACAUUCUGCUCAGUUUGAUCAUCUCCUCAAGGCUCCAGAGACUUGGGAUCCGUCCCAUCACAAGUGCUCAACUAGCAUGUGUAGUGACACUCACUAUCAUGAAUGGGACCAAAUCUGCGGGAAGUACUAACAUUUCAAGAUGGAUCCCCGCCUCUCUGUGCACACUUAACAAGAGAUUCUUUCUUUUAGCACCUCAAAGGCAGCAGUGUAUGCAUGAGAGGCAGAAAUCUCACAUUGGAAUUGGACAGACACAGGAAAGCUUCCUUUCCUGAACCCUUAUUACUGCGAUAUUAUUAUACACGCAGCCAGCACCUCCUUUAAUCAAUUUAACAUAAUAUGACCUAUGAGUUAAUCUUCCCUAAUGAGAAGGCCACCUUCACUCCAUUAAGAGACAGAUAUAUCAUCAACCUCAUCUUCCAGAUGAAGAAGGCAAUUAUGAAGAAAGCCUGGAAACGGGAGAUACUAACAGGAUGCAAAAGAUGUGACGGGCAGUGCAUGUCUGAAGGGAGAACCCAGCGUACCAGAGGAAGAGGUGUACUCUGUUUCUCUUCUGGACAAUAGGGUAACAUGCUUGAAUGGACCAGUUAUAGGCCUUCUUUGUUUCUGCAAAACCCUCGGACUAUCUUUGCAAGGAGACAUCUCAAUUUCUGUAAAUGGGCAUUUAAGUCACUCUGAAACAUAUCACAAUACUGAUUUGGCAUCAAAUAAAACCAUCUGACAAUGA
This is a long non-coding RNA of Podarcis raffonei (Aeolian wall lizard), 1149 nucleotides long. RefSeq lists it as uncharacterized. The transcript is spliced from 2 exons. The record is from RefSeq and is a predicted model, not a curated record. Lineage: Eukaryota; Metazoa; Chordata; Lepidosauria; Squamata; Lacertidae.